GUUUUAUUGCAAACCAAAGUUAACUGUGUAAUGGUUGCCAGCUAACUUGAACUUUACUUGGAAAUACACUUCUCUUUGAUGUCCGAUGUUGUCCUUACAUUGCAUCAAUAAAUGACUUGUCUGCAGAAGCAGGAAGUCCCCAAAUGGAGGCACUGUUGAAAUCAAGAAGCUGACUCCUCAGAAAUGGAAAAGGGAAGAGGAGGAAUCGGGGCUCGAACCCUCAACCUCCGCAUUCAAACCCCAUGUCAAUGCCACCACACCACCAUCAUGUCCGGGUUCUCAGUCGGUAGUUUCCAGUGCUCUACAGAGACAUUAUCAAUCGGAUGAGAUUUAUAGAUGAAGAGAGUCAAGAGGAGAGAGCUGGGCUCGAACUCUGUACCUCUGUAGCCAGAGGCGGAGACACUACCAUUAAGCCACGGUGGGAUUAACGAGUUCGGCGGUGAUUUUUUGGAUAGAAGAAGAUGAGC
This is a long non-coding RNA of Anguilla anguilla (European eel), 467 nucleotides long. RefSeq lists it as uncharacterized. NCBI's taxonomy places the organism in Eukaryota, Metazoa, Chordata, Actinopteri, Anguilliformes, Anguillidae. The record is from RefSeq and is a predicted model, not a curated record. The transcript is spliced from 3 exons.